Molecule: unclassified non-coding RNA, 21157 nt
Filed under: Leishmania donovani
Lineage: Eukaryota; Euglenozoa; Kinetoplastea; Trypanosomatida; Trypanosomatidae
Description: gene:LdHU3.35.7140(CDS-product:SPRY_domain_contai ning_protein_putative)
Source: RNAcentral
CAGCCCUGCACGCGUUGGCGCAGAACUUUGUCAGAGACUUCAACGCUAGGACAGCUUUUUCUGUCCCUGCGCAUACCUCUCAACGUACCACUAUAAGCGACCCUCUCCCUCUUUAUCUUUUCGUUUAUCUUUCUGUGCAGUAUCUGAAGCCAAUCAUUGGAAUAGAAGUUGCGAACCCCAGCAUCUCGCAGAGCUUGACGAGGAAACUGUGUGCUAGCGGCAUUCCCUUAUAUAUGUAUGUACGCAUACAGAACUAUCCGCUUUGCUUUAUGCCUAAGACUGCAAGAUCUACCAAGGAAGAUAGUUAUCACGACUAGUCGGUGCACACCAAAGCGCUUUUUACAACCGCCAUGGAGUCACAGAGUUCCGACUUCUCAGAACUCGAUGUUGAUGAAGCCUUCAGCGACGACCACCAGGAUUCUCAAACACGUGUCCUCAGCGACGAUGAAGACUACAGCUCCGAUAGCUCGGAGCACAGCACUGCCGCGCGAGCAGCGCCUGCAGAGGGCUCGGCGCAGCGGUCUGCAGGCCAACGAUCAGGAAGAGCUCGCGGCAUCGGCAGCGAGUCUCUGCGGCCUCUCCGCGAGUCCUCGUACCCGGUAGAGUAUCUUUUUGCACAAACUACGUUGAAGGAGAAGCACUCAACAGAGGUCAGCACGGUUAACGAAGAGAAACGUGUGGGUCUGAAAUCGCUUGGCGGGCUCGUCAAGUACAGCUCAGCUGAUCUUCUCACCCGAGCGUGGUGCCUCUGCCCCUCAGAGCUGAAAAAUCGUGAGCACCCGCUGUAUAGUAAGCUACCCAAAUGCCCUGAAGUGCUGGAAACUCGGUUUGGUGACACGGAUGAGAUAUCCCAAUUCAUGUGCUCCAUAGCUCUCCAGCUUGGAGAACGUUACCAUCGUGUCACGCCUGUAUACCUUCGAUCUCUGCUCGUUCAGGCCGUCGUGCGGGAUGAAAUAGCAGGCGCAAAUCAGAGUGUUGCGAACAGCACACCGUACGCGGACGUCCUGCUCGACCCCGCUUGGGAAGGCGAAAGCGCAUGUGCUGAUGAGGCAGAUGAUGUAUCUGGGAAUGAAGGGAGCGACGAAGUGCAAGACGAGAAUAUUGAGGUGGAGUCCGCCGUGAGCGCUUUCGAUUUCAGCGUUGCGUUGAUCUUGCCUGUCGUGUCGCAAGGAAUCACGUACGAGAGUCUUCACCUUCUCCACACCUUGGUUGAUCGAUGUCUGAGCUCCUCUACCGAGGUGGCAGUGCUGCGAUCCUGGGGCGUUAGACGCAUCAUGCGUCUGUUGCUUCGUCACAUGAACGUGCACGCCGGGCAAAGCGUGAACAAGAGAUGGCUUGCGACAACGAUAUCAUUGCUGUCUAAGAUCGUGCUCUCUUCCGGAGACACAAAGGUAUUUUUUUCACUUCUGCGAUGGAGUCUGCACCACCCUGACACGAUAGCGAUGCUGCACAUGCGCGGGGUGCGGGGCAUUGUUGAACGCGUGGAGCAGAAGAGUGCGGUUCGCGUGCGCCUGUCGAUCCCGACAGUCACACCGAAAGAGCAGACGAUCUCGUUUAUUCACUCUGUGGGAAGUACUCCCGCCUCUGUCACGGGCCUCUGCGUGUUUACGGAGGAGGAUGCUCCACGAUGCAUCGUUUUCACCGAAAAUCGCUCCUUCAAAGUCGCCUUAACUCCUCCGUUUGAGGUGCUGUGCUGUAGCAGCACUGCCCCCGACUCGUGCCGAGGUGUUUAUGUCGAGAGCGAUAUGUCGAUCUGUGUACUUGGCGACCACGGGAAGGUCUUUGUGAUCAACAAGGACACCCUAAUGCUUACCCGGACAAUGUCCCCUCCGUCGCACCUUCUAGGCUCCACUCAGUUUCCUCUGUACAUUGGAGAUGGUGAGUACGUGUCGUCGUACUUUUUAGCCGGCACUUCCACUGAAAGACAGGCCUGCUUUACAGGAAAUGAGGUGAGUGGAGCACUCACGCCGAGCACAAUCACGCUACCGCGGACGUGCGACUCAUUGAGCAUCCAGUUCUACCUUUGCCCGGUCAUCACAGGAACGGUGAAUGAAAUGACGCUGCUCCAUCUCACCACCGGGAGCAAGAACUGGCUUUCCGUGUCGGUCUCGCUGAACCCUCUUACCUCCACCAUGGUGCUCAUGUUCCGUCAUGGGCAGGACGCCUUCGCUGAGAUCCGAGAGCCACUGAGAGCAGAGUGGGCCCUUUGGAGCGCGUCGCUGACGUCCACCAAUGACACAGCGGCGUGGAGUGUGUUCAAGAACGGCGUCAUGUGCGACACGCGCAGCCAAAGCGGCGCCCUGAUACAGCCCAGUGGUGCUGUUACCCCUAUUUUCUUCAAGGGUCGCUUGAACGCGCAUCUUUCUACUCUGCAGCUGUGGAGUCGUGCGCAGAGCGUUGACUGCAUGCGCAACUGCGCGCUGGAGCACACGCCGGAGAGCAAAUCGCAAUUCCUUGUGUUUUCGUUCUUGAUGGAUGAAGGACUCGGGCGCUCUUUCCACAGCCCGCAGACAGGCUACGUUUGGCAAGGCACGGGGGUCAUCUGGGACACCCCGCCGAGGCCGUUUCCCGUAAACCGACAUUCUCCGCACAAGGUUCACUGGAGGCCGUCCGGCAACUACUACAUUGUCACCAACCACUUUGAGUACGCCAUCAUAGAGCCACAGGCGACGACGUGGAUCGACCGCGACGGCCGUGUCGUGGAGCAGGCAGAGGGACUUCUGUCCGUGAGCGAGCGGCCUUUUUACAACAUUACGGAUGGUUACUUUUUCCUGUCCACUCAAGACACCGUAGGCAUUCGGUCCGUCAAGUCAAACUCACCGCCGGCGGCGUACUUGCAACAUUUGCCAUCGAUGGUGGUUGGCAAGCAGUUCUGCGCGCAGGUCGUGGAGAGCGUGAUGAGGCGCACCCCAAUCACGGCUAAGCAGUACCUAGAGUACCUGGUGCACCGAACCAAUCUGCACCUGCUCACCUACAGCGACGAUCAAGGUAGCGGCCCCGUCCACCUGUCGUCGAGCCUGCGAGAGAAUCUCUCUGUUGUUGGUCGUCUCCUCGACUUGACCGAGUACUUGGUCUCCGGCAUCGAAAGCAGUGUGAAGGAAUGCCUGCGCCCUGAGCUGCUGCUUUGCCUUGUCGGUCGUGUGCUGAACAUUUACGUAAAGCUGUUUGAACGACAAUGUCCUGGGCAGGUAGUGCGGUCUGUGGUGGACGCGCACAAGCGUCUGCAGAGCUUGAACACGAAGGUGAAGCAGGACGAGUUUCUGCAGGAAGCUGCUAGUGUGUUUGGCGACCUCAAUCAGGUCAUUCUGGCCCGCUGCGUCAGCCACGAUUUUCAGCUAAAACUGAUCACGGACAGCGCCAGCUUGAAAGAUGUACGCCAACUGCUGCAGCUAGAGAGCCUCUCGCAGUUUGUCGCCUCCGUGAUCAAGAGGGACAUGAAGAAGAUGUUCAUGACCUUUUUGCACCGCUUGAAGGAGGAGUGCCAAGAGGAGGCGACGCUCAUCUUCGACAGCAAACCUCGCCAAAUCAAUGCAUCGGAGGCGAUGCUCAGCACCCUGCUAGGAAUGCUUUCGCAGCAAGGGCACUCGCAGUGGCACCUGGUCGCUGCUGCGCUGAUCAGCUCCCUCUGCAAGUGGAUCAUUCGCUGCUUUGAGGAGCGCUACCCGUCGGACGCCGAGCGCUACGCCAACGUCGAUGUCCUCAAAGAAACCUCCAUCGGCAUUGUCCUCUUCCCCGUCGUACACUACAUGUGCGAUAUGCAGCUUGACUCGUCCAUCGCCCCGGACGCGCUGAAGGCACUCAACGACGCGCGAAAGUGCCUGUCACGCUACAGCCUGGCGCCGGGUAAGACAGGGAAGAAGUUUGUCUCGUUCUCGGAGACGCAUUACGUGGCGUCGCCGCCUCAGCUGAAAGCACCGUUCUAUGCUAGCCUCUCGUUACAGUAUGCCAAGAGCAUCAAGGUGGAAUUCUUGGACUCUCCGGAAUUGGACCGCGCCUCUAGCACGGUGACCGUCUCGCUCGUCACAAACAACUGCCUGACCUCUGUCGACGUGCUGCACCCGGGCCAAAACGCCGUCUUCCUGGAGGGUGCGCAAGUUUCGAUUGCGUACGCCGCAGAAGCCACGCUGGACUCCCCGGCCCCUGGCGUGGCACUGAACGUGCACACGGUAGUUGAGCUGGCAACGGAGAAGACGGACUGGGUGCGCGAUAUCUGUCUGGCGCUCAGCUACAUUAUUAUCCGGGUGACGCAGCAUAACCUGCACAACACCGCGCCGUCCGGCAGCGCUAUCCGCAGAGACUCCUUUCUUCGCGGUGGCCUGUCGGCCAGCGUGCAGAAGUGCAACAAGAUACCGCUCUCCCCAGGGAACAAAGAGGAGUGCGCCGACCUGCAUGCUCAGCUGUGCGCGGUGGCGGAAGAGACGGACCCGUCGCUCACGGUUGCAUGGAGCGCCUUGUAUGAGAAAAGCCGCAUCCAGUAUUCCAAGCGGCUGGAGGGAAUCAUGCGAUGGGCAAGUUGCGCGCUUGCGUGGCAGACACUCUCGCUCCCCGCAGAGGACGAGAAGACAGUGGAGCAGCUGCUUUGCAGCAGUGUGAACGCUAUCAAGCGCAAGACGUUUUUGCUGCUGGAGGCGCUCCAGCAAGGGCGCGAGGAGGCGAUCGUAGGUCGGGCACGCUUUUUGCUCUUCAACAUAACCCCCCGUCUCUUUGGCGAGUGGCAGCUGAUCGAGCACCAGCACACGGAGGAGCCGUUGACAGCGGAGGCGGAUCGUGGCUCUCGCCAGCUGUCGCGACUGGCCUACUCGGUUGGGAACCGGAGCCGGGCCACCGUGGCAAGUUUCCAAAUGCCUACGGCGCACGCGCUUGACCUCUCGAGUAACUAUCGCGGGUCACUGCUGAGCACGCGCAAGACGGCCUCGCGGACGUUGGAUGAGUCGCCGGUGAAUAUUUUCACCAAAACUUUGAGGAGCGAAGAGGAGAGUUUGCCAAACAAGAUCAUCUACUACCUCAUCAACGGACUUGACAAGCCCACCGAGGACAUCUGUAAAGAUAUGGUGCUCAAGACGCAGCAGGCGGUGUACCAGACGGAGGCGUACAAGCUGCAGGAGGACCUUUGCAAGUCAUUUGCGAACGACCGGGAGAUGCUGUCGGCCAUUUUGAUGACGCACUUAAAGUACCGGCUGGAGUUCUCUCAGUCCACAAUCGUCGCAGCGAGUGAGCAAGGGGAGGCGGCGAGCGAGGCCAACGUUGGCUUUGACCAUCAUUACACAGAGCAGAUGAUCGGCUGCGGUAUGCUGCGGGAGCUGGAGUUGCAGAAGGCGGUGUGCUCGUUUGUGCAGAGCUCGCUGCGCUCCCUCUUGCACAAACUCGACGACACUCAGGACUUCCCGUACGUGGAGGCGGUGUACAUGUGCGCUACCCUGUGCCACCCCUGGGACGGUGUCGACAUGUCAAUCCUGCAGCCGCGAGAGAUCUUUGCCUUUCUCAAGAAGCUCCUCACAACCGCUUGCGAGCUGCGCCUCGAAUCUGCGAGCAGCGACACCGACAAGUACUACGAGAGUCGUGGACUGUUUGACCUUGCGCACCGCUGUCUGGUCAUUCCCAACGCAAUGUUACAGACGUCUGUUGAGGGCGUUCACAUCGUUCAAAGUGAGGUGCAGGGGCUGCAUGUGGAAAACGUCAAUGUUGUGUUCAGCGCUCGAACGCACUGGAAGGCACACGGCGCGAACGUCAGAAUACCGACAAAGACGUGCGAGGCUGACUACUACGCGAACUACGGCAUUCCAAAAGUAAUCAGCGAGUUUCCAGACGUGCAGUACUACGAGGUGGCGCUGGACUUUGCGCUGCAUCCGAGCAACCCGGAACUAUCGAUGGGGCUGAGCCUUGUGCCUCUCUCGCCGCUCGACCCUGUGCGGGCAGACUACGUGCUCUCACUCGCCUCUACCGGCCGUGUCCACCGCCCGGAGAAGCAAGAUCGCCAGCUAUGCAAUCCGUGGAAGGUCGGCGACGUUGUCGGGUGCGGGCUCAUGGCCCCAUCAAACAGCGUCUUCUUCACGCUGAACGGCGAGUUUCUCGGCGUGGUUGCGGAGGUGCCCACCCUGUCCACGGUUAUCCCGUUUGUCAGCGUGCGCGGCGACGACACACUCAUGAAGGUGAUUGUCAACUUCGGCGAAGAACAAUCGUUUCGCUUCGACCUGGCAUCGUUGCACUGCAGCUGCCGGCAUCGCUACCUCACUCCGAGUGUGGUGUGCGACACGGUCAUCAUCACGACAGACUACCUCGUCACAAUGUGCUACAAGGGACUGUCGAAGGGGGAAGACACCUCCGUGACGUGCGACGAAGCUAUCAGCGGCCUUCUCGAGAAGGCGACAGCAUUCCUCAGCUCGUCGACGAUAACACUUAUGGUGAAGCUGAACGCGUGCUCGCCGGGGCAGAGCAGCCGCAUCGAGCAGAUUGUCGUCUUGCUCUCGCGCCUUCUCCACUGCGUUUCCAUCGUAAUAGAGUGCUUUCGCUACGACGCUGUCACCCGGCGCACGCACGCGACGGUUCUCCAGCUGUGCGCUGCCAUCCUCACGCGGUGCCGCGACAAGUGGGUCAAGGUACGCGCCUCACAGUGUCUGGCGAUGCUUUGCAAAAUACUGCGUCCCCAGUACCUGGUGGAGGCCUCGGAAGCGCUGCGGGGCCUCGUGUCCUUUGAGGACAUUGUGCAGCAGCUCGUCGACCUCGCCCGCAUCAAAUUCAUCAAGGAGGCGGAAGCACCUAUGCAGCCGCCUCGCUGGGUUGGCGGCACCACGGUUGUGAAGGGCAAGGGCACCUUCUUCGGGUCUGUUCCGCUGCCAAAGAAGGGCACGCAUCUUGUUGGAUUUCGCAUCAAACGGCGACAGCAGCAGGUUCAGGGGCCGGGGGCCCCGCUGGGCGGGUGCUACUACCUCGGACUCGCUCACGGACAGCCGUCGAUUCCGAACAUGGGCAACCUAAUCAGCCGGAGUGACGUUUACGUGUUGCAGGACACAGAUGACCAGGACCAGGUGGCGCAUCUUCUUCUGCGCAGGCACUGCAUCCCGCGCAACAACCACCGCCGCGUCUAUGGCAAUGAUGAGGUGGUCUGGGUGGAGUUCAACGCGGACUACGGCGAGAUCGCCUUCUAUCGCGAGAACAUGGUCAUGAUCGGCCUCGCGUUUGCGAACAUUACCCAGGUUGACGACCUGUAUCCGAUUGCCUUUCUCUUCAAUGACGACGCCUCCUGCGAAAUCAUUGCGCCACCGUCCCUGACGGACGAGUCUGUCGAGCACUGGACGGAGAGUCUGCGCCGCAGCGCGGCGAUUGACACGCUACAGGAGCUUCAUGUGGUCCCCGGGUUUUCCGCGAUAAUCUCGCUCAUGGUGCAACGCUCUGUCUCGCAGCUCGAUUGUAGUCUGGACGAAUGUCUCGUGGCGCUAGGGGUGCUGGGCGGAGAGCGAAGCUACCUCUACUGCCAACACGAUACAUACGGUAUGGUUGUCGUGCACGCGAUCGCCGAGGUUACCGGGAAGGUGGUUGUGUUUCUCGCCAGCGACGAAGACAAGCGGCUGUUUUCCGUGCAGCCGCAGGGACUAAAGCCAUCCUUCAUUCAAACGCCACUGUACCAGAGCAACGCUCCAGACGCGCACUCAUGUGCCACACUGCUGUCGAGCGAGCUGUAUCGCAUCCUCUACGAGGCAUCCGCCGUGGCCCCGCUGCUGCAAAGCGAAGAAGGGGCACGACACAAGGUGGAGCGCCAGUACGAGGAGUCCCUCAGCAGCGCCAUCGCGACGAACCUUAUCGGAAUUCUCACCGAGCAGCAGAUGAGGUCGUCUCCGAAGCUGGCAAGAGCCGCUUCAACCUCGCCAGAGACCAGCGGUGCUGAGUUUCCUUACCGCCGCUUCAACUCGAGCGUCAUUUUUUCGGGCCAGUCCGUGUCGGUCGACCUGCACUGCUCCACCAAAACGCUGUACGUGCCGAACCCUUCCAUCGCCGUCACCACCGCUGAGGGCUGCUCUGUCGUGCGUGGAAAUGUGCAGCUCGAUCAACGCUUCACCCUCGCCGUCUCUGUCACACAGACCUCGAUAAAUGACCUCAUGUACGUUGGAUUCACCACCACGCGCAUGCGCUGGCCGGAAUCGCAGGACGAGGUCGCCAGCUGGGAAGACGCGUGGGUGCUCUGCAACCGAGACUCCGUCGCCACGAACAGCGUGAACUGCUGCAUGGAGCCCGGCAUCAUCUUUGGCGCGGCGAACAAGGUAUUCCAGAGUGGCGACGUACUUCUCAUGCGCGUCGAUCGACAUGAGAGGACAGUGGCCUUCACGCGCAUAAGGAACAGCGAGCAGACUGACCUGGGCGUCUUGUUCGAGGGCAUCCCCGCUGCCUGUGACCUGCGGCCGAUGGUAGUGUGUGGUGAGGAAUCGGUCGUAGUUUUCUCCACACUCGACUCAUGUCUGUUCCCCUCGCGGCUAACGUACCCGGUGAGCAACUUCAACAAUCCAUCGUGUGAGCGGGUGACCUGCUGUUCCUGCUCGCGGCGGCUGAUGCCGCCGUGGUACGGUAGCGAGGACAACGUGGCUCUUUGCGAAUGGUGCUUCAGCUUAUGGAAGCGGCCAAAGGACAUGUUCUUUGUCGUGAGCACGACGUCGCGCACGAUUCCGGAAUACUUGGUCUCGGAUCACUGCCCCGAAACGCUUGUGGCCGGCGAUUAUGUGGAGUUUGAGGAGAACACCGGGCUUCAGUGGUCAAACAUUCGAAGUGUGAACUCGGAGAUACUAGGGGGCACGUGCAUCGCGCUGAAUGAUGAGAGUUUUGCCUUCAGCGAGGAGCUGCCGCAGUUUGGGCAGCGCCGCGUCGACGUCCGACUCAGCCACAUAGCUGGUGUCCCAGGCCACCCGUUUAGCGGCUUGCACACCUUCACACCACUGUGGCGAGACGGGCAGCAAAUCGGCCCCACGUGCAGCCUCCGCGGCGACUGCGUGGCGGUGAGUGCGACAAUGCUGCCCAUGCGUACAAAGUUGUUCCUGUGCUUCCACAUUGAAAGCAACUCACGAAACACCCUCUUUUCCAUGGCUGAGGUCUUUGUAGGGGUGACGAACCUGGCUGAUGCGCCGAGGCCGAUGAGCCGCGCGGACCUGGAGCAUCUGUGCGCGGCGAAGAGUGUGCGCGGUACAUGGUGCGACACAAGCGAGAAGGUGAGCAGCAGCGGUUGCGUCAACAUGCUCGUGGAUUGUUUGAACAGCUCGGUAUUCUUCAGUUCCAGCCUCAGUGGUCUGCACGGCAAGCCGUUCGUCAUCUCCGGCAGCAUGUCCGCCGAGGCCGAAGAGGACAAUCUUCGCCUUCUCGUGUUUUCACACGAACCGUGCGUCGUGCGCUUCUCGGAGGGGCUUGUGUCCUACAACGAGUGCGUGGAGCCGAGCUUUGCGCCGCUUGCGAUCGGCCUCUUUCCCGAAAUGGGUGACGCCUUGUCGGUGGACACGUUCAACGAGGCGAUUGUGCUGAUGGACACUGUCGACCGCACACAGACAUACACGAAAGCAGAGUGGCGGUAUUCUCCCCACGUGGACAAGCUGGACAACGGCACACUCUUCUACGUUGGAGAUACGGUGACGUUUUUCCACGAUGGAACGACAAUUCACGUGUACAUACAAGGAAUCGAGCUGGCGAGCCUUGAGCUUAGUGAUGCACAGCGAAGCGAGCGCUUGCGUGUCGUCGCCUACCUGUCCACGCGCGGCACAACAGCUACGAUUGUGCCUCCUCUUUACGGUACUUCGCACUUUGGCAAGAUCACGCGCGUGUGCAGCCCAGACGUGGCCGUUGUCGAAUCGGUAUCCGAACACGGGAAACGCAGCACAUUCGCCGUCCACAAGUCUGCGGUGCGCUUCUGCGCGCUGGUGGCCGCGGCCGGUAGGGAGAAGCCAGGCCUGUGCGACGGCGACCCUGUCGCAUUUAAGAUCGGUGGGCUGCAGAUAUCCAAGCGUGGCACCAUAGCUAGCGUGCAAGGCGCCGUCGUGAAUGUGUGCGAAAGCAGCGACAAGCGGAACCUCAUCUCUGUCAACAUGAACCAGUGCUUUCUUCUGCGAAACGAAGGCAAGCAGCAGUACAACUACGAGCUCUACCCCCUCAUCUCGCCUCCGACCAGCUCCAUCACGCGUGUCUUCGAGGUGGGUAAGAAGAAGUUUCGUCUGCAGAGUCGUGGAUCGUACAACGGAAUCAUGUUUGACUGCAAGACAUCGGAGACGAUUGAACUGAUUGGGAUGUCCGUGCUGACGCGAGUCACCGGGUGCCAUCAGGUGCAGACCUACUUCCGAAAGGGUUCCAGUGUCAACCACGAGCGCGACGGACGAUCGUGGACGGUCAUCUUCGACGACAUGAUUGACAUGACGGCUGACCACCAGUUCAGCAUCCCAUUUACUCCGAUCACCGUGGAGGGCGGAACGACCUUUUCCUUCUACAUCAACACGUCACACAACUGCGGCAUCGGCUUCUACUGCGAGGAGGAUGGCUGCAGCGGUGAGAUCGGCCAGGAGCUGGACGCGGACGGCACUCUCUCUGUGUACCUGGGACGGAAGAGCGGAAGCAGCGAUCCGUUCACGGAGUUCAGUAUGUCACCGCGCGGGUUCUGUGGCACUAUUCAGUACAAGCAGAAUCAUGGCUCCACCUUGCCGUCGAUUGAGGGCAAGCUCUUCCCCAGACCGUCUAUGGAGGUGAACCUCUGCCAUUGCAGCGAAUCGCUUCGCCUCAUCUGCCGCCCGCUGACAACGUCGAAGGACAUUGUCGUCACGUUCCGAGUGCGGGUUUUCUCGCUGGCAGUUCGCAUCAUCUCGUUCACGAUGCCAGUACUGCUGCUGAACCCAUCGGCGCGCGUUCCUCAGGGCAUCUCGCACUGCUCCAUCUCCAUGUUCUACACGCCGGAGGACCGCCUCGAGAGGCAGUGGAUUUGGAACUCGCGGUUCUUGGUACAGGGCGACGCUUCUGAGGCUGUUCUGAGCCCGGCAAGCCUGUCUUUGGAGCAAGGGACAUACAUGUUCCAGGUGCUGCUGAAGAACAUCGAGAGCGAGGGCGUGGGCGCGCCGCCGCACCUGUGCCUACUAAGCAGCAGCGAUCCGUUGUACGAGCGCAAGAACGACCUUAUUGCAGUGAGCGGGUUCUUUGGCGACGUGACGUGUGAGGCAAACAGGCCUGUACUGGAGGGUGAGCUACACACGAUGAUUCCCGGCGCCCAUCUGAAUCAAAACAACUCGGCGUCCUACAACGGUAUCAUGUUCGACCUGCGCAGUAAGAAGGAAAUAACGCUGGAGCAAGUCUUCUGCAUCUCGCAGACCACGUCAGACUGCGUUACCGUGCGGAUUUUUUGGAGGGAGGGAAGCAUGGAGGGGGCGGAGAGGGCGCCGCAUCAGUGGCGCGAGGUGAUAACAAAGGAGGUGGCGGUGGUGGAUAAACAUCCCUUCUCAGUCGGUCCGUUGAUGUUGCGUAUGCGUGCCAACCAGGUCUACUCGAUUUUCAUCAACACGUCGUCGAGCUGUGGCGUUCGCUUCUAUAACAGCAGCGACGGCCACGUCGGAGACAUCCGCGACGAGUUCGACAGUGACGGCAUCUUAUCCGUGUACGUUGGCCGGAAAAGCGAGUCGUCGUCCCCUUUUGUUGAGCUUCCACUCGAACCACGCGCUUUUCGUGGACGGAUCACGUACCGUACGUACGCACUACAGAAUACCGACGCGAUGGAGCAUGCCACAUUCCCGUACGUCCGCGGCUUUCUUGUUACUCGAAUGCUGGUGGCUCUGAUGUCGUACGUCGAGCUGUCUAGCGUUGGGCACUCCGGCAACUUCUCCUAUGAGCAGCUGCUCAAGACAACUUCGCUGCUCGCCACGUCACCGAUGGAUUCGCUCGCAGACUUGAUGGGUGCGGAGAACAUGCUUGCAUCCCUGAUACGGGACUCGGGCGAGGUGCGCAACAUCAACGUCACGAUCCCAAUCGCGGGAGGCCACUGCAGCCUUCUGGUGCCACUAGCGAAGGGCGACAUCGCGCUGCUGACCGACCUGCAGAGCGCCGAGUCGAACGCGCUUGUGAAGCUGCAGUCUGGCGUGCGGCCCGACGGGAUGGCUCUCGUGCGACACCGUGAUGCAUCCGUACCGUUCAGCGUACCUGCGAAGCGACUCCUGCCCAUCACGAAGUGUGUCAUGUGCGGUUGGAUGUACACUCAGGAGGUGUGCGCCGCCUGUAACGCCGAGCACAUGCCCAUCCUCUCCGAGGAGGCAAGGGCGGUUGAGAUUGUUGCGAACGGGCUGCAACAGACACGGUCGGGGCUAAGUAUUCAGGAGACGAUAGAGGCAGCGGUGGCUGCAGUGGGUAGCGCCUGGGGCAAGGACGGGAUGCUGAUGCCGGUUGAUGCGGCAUCAAAGGACAGGCCGGAGGUUCAGGCGUCCGUGGCACCGCGCGGUGUCGUCUUCUCGAUUCCUGUUGCACUUCUGCUCAGUGAGGAGGAGUACAGCGAGGGCGGGAGCUUACUGUGCCCGUUUGUGUUUCACCCCGCUGCCGGCGCGGCAGUCGCGCUGCGCCUUUCGACGACGAACGAGGUGUUUUCCGUGCAGUUUGUCACCAGCGGCGCUGCUUCGGCAAUCGCGGAAGCGACCGAGGAGGCCCCAGCCCACUUUUUUCUCCUGCAGCUUUGGGGGGGAGAUGGCGAGGCUCGACACGGACUCACCGAGGAUCCUGUUCCGUUUGUCAUUUGCCGCGGUGGAGAGUCGAGCGUUCCACUGGUUGAAAACGUUCACGCCGGCUACGCUGCUAGCUUGCAGCGCGACGGGUUUGUGACGCUCUUCCUCGAGAUACAGGCAUGUUCGCCGCUCCCACUGACGGCGCCAGUGCUGGCGAAGCCGGACUGCUGGAUGUGGGAGCACAACUCCGUUGAGGCGCAGCUGUGUUCCACCAGCACCACGUAUUUGGCGCGGCUGUUCUCCUCUGUGCAGGGGGUGUCGGACUGGCCGCACUAUUCUGCCUUUAUGGUGACGGCGAAAGGCAAAGAGACGAUGAUUUUUCUUGAGCUUCACGUCUCCGAGGUCCAGAGACGCACUGUCUCCUCGUCUGGGAUGAUGGUGUACUCGGCGCCGUCGCCGCUGCCCGUUCGGAUCCGCAAGCCCUUUAACAUGCAGAGUGACGAGGUGCUCACGCUGCGUGUGACGACGGAGGGUGACUUUUUCAUUUACGACACGAACGACAUUGUGCGGUGCAGCAUUUCGAAGGAAGAACUCUACGGCGGCAAGCAUCAGCGGCAGCUACACAGGAUCGGCUUUGUGAGCGUCGACCCGGAAAAGGUGACGGCGCUUCUUUACGUACCGGAAAAAACGCGGCGCAACCCCCGUGCCAACAUUGCAUCGGAUGCAAAGACAACUCUCUCCUCGUCGUCGCUGCUUCCAAAGACAUACUCGCCUGCCUGGGUGAGGCUCGACGCCAGCCGCAUUACCGUGAGCCGCAACGGCCUGACCGCGAGCUCCGUGAACGAGCUCGGCGGGGGCGACGCCGUGAUGGGGUCGCCGCUGCCGGCGACAGGUGUGUGGUCCUUCGUUGUGCAUAUUCACCGUAAGGACUCCCAGCCAGGCACGCCGCUCGGCUCCGGGUUUUUUGCCGGGGUCGCCCUCUCCGACUUUGCUCAGUUUGCUCCAGAGUACUCCGCAAUCAAGACGUACGUCGGGUCGCUGUGGGUGGUGCAGGACGUCCAGGAUGAGGACUCGAUGCCAAAUCAGGAGCCGCUGCCUCCUCUGAUGCGCGGCUCCUACGGCCAGGGAGUGCUGUUUUUUGACAGCACCAAGCUGCUGUUCAUAGUCGACCGAAGCAACGGCACGCUUUCCAUCUCGCGCGACAACGAGUCUCCACACGUGGUGUUUCAAGGCAUACCGCACGGCGCGUCCGUGUCGCCGUUUGUCCGCCUCGAUCAUCCCAACUCAUCCGCGACGCUGGCGCGUUUCUCUAGCGCGGUGGAGUACACACGACUGCACCAGCCGUCGCUGGAGAAGGUCCUCUGGUUGCAGCCCAUCACGCCAUCUCUUCUACGCCGCUACCCACUUUUCAUGGCGACGCAGACGUUCCCGUUCAUCUCGGAGCUGGUGCGCAAGCUCCCCACUCGUCUCGCUGGGCUAUUGGAGCGCUGCUGGGGCGAGCAGAUAGCACGGUCGCGUUUCGAGUACCGUGUCGCGCAGGCGUUGGAGGAGCUUGCAGGGCUGGGUGCUUUUGCCCGCUCGUUGCCUGAGGCGAACGACGCCAAAGUAGAUGAAAUUGCCGACUACCUUUCCAAGUCGGCUCGCAGGGAGGUGGUGGUGUUUCCCGCUCGCACGAGCGAGACAGCUGUACAGACGUCGCCGCUCGACGACAGCACUGGUGUACACGUGCGGUUGCCGCCAACGUACGAGCUUGUGGGACGUGUGGAGGCGACAAAUAUGGUGCGCGUGCUUCACUUUGAUCGUGAGUUUGGUGCGGUUGAACGCACGCUGCAUCUCUUUUUUCUUGACGACGCGACGCUAAACCUUCACAGCACAAACAACGUCUUGCCGCACCUGUCGGUGAUGCGCCAGCACGAAAUCCUACCUGCGCUGAACAGGGCAGAAGCCGUGGCUGUUAUGGCAGACGGAUGGUUUGAUUGCUCACUGGCGGACUAUGACGCAGUGCUUAACGUAAAGGAGGAGGAGGAGAUCGCCUCCUCCCUGGUCUACGCGUUGGAGCACUGGCAUCUGCACCAGCUCCCACAUGGCCACGUCCACCCGAGAAACGUCUACUUGCGUGUCGAGCAUGGGGAGGUGGUGCAGUGCUGCCUGUGGAACGUGCAUCAGCUGUCGCCGAAGAGCAAGUACGCCUCGCACGAGCUGCGCGACUCUGGUGUCCGCUCCUUGUUUGGUGACCGGUGGGCCUGCUGGCAAAUCUUGCACUCUUUCCAGCACCUUCUUGCGCACGACCCCCGUGUCGCGGAGUGCGUCGAAUUGAUGGUGGACGAGGCCACGAGUAUAUCGCGCGCGCUGCAGCUAAGCGUAGCAUUCCAGGGCAGCUUCAGCGACAGCGGCGAGGGCCUGACGUUUUCUCUGCGCACGGGUUCGCGGCUGCGCGGUGGCUCUGGGUCGUACAACGGCAUCAUGUUCGACGUCGUCGCCAAGAACAACACCAUUUGCAUUACGAAGCUGUCAUUCAUACCAGAUGCCAACACGGUCGCGACGGUGCGGCUCUACGCACGCAGUGGGAGCUUCAUGGGCUUCGAACGCGACCCCGAAGCAUGGACAAAGCUUUUUGAGGAGGAGAUGGCCUUGAAGGACACAUGGGAAGUGACGCUGGAGAACUUCGAGCCUAUCACAGUGCCAGGAGGCGCGCGGGUCGGCAUCUUCCUCCACACGACGAGCGGCAGCGGUGUGCUCUUCUUCUCGGAGAACGAAGGACUGCAAGGCAAAACCGGAGACGUGGAGGAGGAGAAUGACGACAUUGGCAUUACGAUUGGCAAGAAGAGCGAGAGCGCCAAUCCUUUCGUCGCGGUGCAAAGUCAGAAACGACUCCUGAAGGGCAGCAUCACCUACACAGUCCUCAUGCGAUCAAACGGACCGCGCAGCUGCCUUAUCUCCUGCUGUGAGCCCGUCCUCAGCGACGGCAAGGGAGAGGAGCAGGUCGAGCUUCGUUUGGUGCAAGUCAGCAGUGCGGCGAGAAAAGGCGAAUCGGAUUUGCAGGUUCCGGGCGGCGUGCGCGCUCCCGGCGGAGCCCGAACCCAGCUCCCCGCCACUCAGCUGCCAACGUCGUCAGGGUACUGCCUUCAGGUGCUUAGUGCACCAAACACUCGGCGCAGCGGGUCCGACAGGAAUAACGUACUUACACUUGUGGCGCCGAGCCAGUUCGUGUGGUGCCGCGCACCAGACGUGGUCUCCGUCCGGCCGGGACUGCUGCGAGAGGUGGCUGAUCCACUUGUUCGCUUCCUUGCCGCUGAGGGCCUGCGCAGACGUCGCACACUACUGCGCCAACACAAUCUCAGCAGCCGCGUGUUCCCGUGCCGCCCAUUGCAUUUUCUUCUCCUUCCUACCCAUGACACGGAUACUGGAGCGCCAUCGUCGAUGUGCAGUGUGACGCACCCGGUUCUCAGUGGUGGUACCGUGUUCAUCUCGGAGCCCAUAUCGUCCUCUUGCACCCUAUCGUUAUGGCAGAAGGCGGCCGGGGCGGCGGUGCUACUUGUUAUGGAUCAUAUCCCGACGACGGAUGAGGUGACUCGGCGGACGACGGCAUCGCCGUCCGACUCGCUGGUUGGCGCGCGCAGCUGUGGCGGAUUUGUGCACGUCGAUGACGCGCUCCGAUACGUGACGUCGACUCGAGAUCGUGUACAUCUGCGGCUCAAAGCGUCCUUGUCGUGCCGCCCCCUCUUUGUUGUGGCUCGGCUUCGAAACGCCGGACACCGCGACUCGCAGCUAUUCGCCUACAGCAGUGCCAUGGAACACGAGCUCUUCACCCCUGCAGCGGAAGGAUGCUUCUUCAUGACCAACCGUAAAGCCACACCACCCGACGACAACGCUGCCUUCGCGACCACUUGGCACGCCUGCGGCGGGCUCAUCGCGCUGGAGGGGCGCGACAAAGGUUGUGCUGGCGCAGAGUCUCUAGUUCGGCUGGAGUCGCUUGUCUCCAGCAGGGAUGAGGUGCGUUUUGUCUGCCCGCCUCGGUGCCCAGGAGAGAGCGAAACGGUUGUGCAGGAGAAGAUGAAGACCGGCGAGGCUCAGCCGAACGUGGCGGUGCAGCACGCCAUCCCGCAAGCGCCGCUCCUGAUUGAGCUGCGCGAGCAGGCAAAGUGGAAGUCGGUCCGGCACCUCGUUGAGUUUACGUGCCUAUCUUCGUCCCUUGCACUAUGCGGUGCGCGCGGGGCAUGGCAGGUGGCGGGGGGCAUCAACUGCAGCGCGGUGGUGUCGUCGCCGCGCUUCACCACCGCCGAGCGGCAUCGUGUGCACUUGCGGCUGCAGUUUCCUCGACGCAUGCCCAUGGACCUGCAGCUCGACUGCAAGAGCGGCUCGGCGAACCCGAUUCGGCUGCUGCACGGCUCCUACAAAUCCUUGCGCAGCCGUCUAUUCGACCCCGCAGUGCGAGAGGUGUUUGUGUGGCUCGACAUCAACCUGCAGACGCGUGAAGUGGUCGUGCUGAGCAGCGACGGAACCGUCUAUCACCCUUUCAUUGAGGAAAGCGUCCUUUCGUCUGACGUGCAGCUCGGUUUUGUGUCGCACGCGCCAGGAUCCGAGCUGGAUGUGCUGGAGUGGAGGGUCUGCUCCUCUCAAAUACGUGGUGAGAUGACUGCGUCCGUGUUCAAGAGAGUGCUAGAGGAGACACCUCUGGCACAGCUUUCAGCGAACACAUCUUUGACGGUCGGCACCGUGUGCCGCCACUCGGCGCGUGGAGCGUUUCCGUCCAAACAAGAGGUGAACCUGUCCACAGAGAAGCAGAUGGGAGUUCUCAUGGUGACGUACGCGAGAAUGCUGCUCGAGAAAACGCUUCUGUCUCAGGAAAAGGCACGUACAGCUGCACAGCCGCAGUUUCUCCGACUUCUCUCGCUCACGGCGUUGCGCAAACACCCGGAUAUUGCCCGCAUCCUGGAUGGCGAGAUCAAGCAAGGCUCUUUCCGGCUUGUCUCUCAGUGUGUAGCGCAAUUAUCAGCACCGUUCCUGAUGCAGGUGCCGGCAGAGGUGGAUGCCGGCAUUAAUGUCAUCGCGUCUCUAAUGCGCAAUGACGUUUUCCGACGCACAAUUCUGAACGCGUUCGGAAGCUCGCUUGUUCUCAUUCUGCUUAGGGCUGCGACGGUACACACGCGGUCGACGCGGCACACGGCGCUCCACUGCGUGCAGGAGUUGUUGUCUGACGGGCGCGUGCCGCUUCCGUCUCACCACGUGCUCUCCGCGCACCUCCGUCCGCUGACGGACAUGAUGGCCUCCCUGUGCCGGAGAGAGCGAAUGGGCUCGGCAGUGGUGCAAACCGGUGUGACACUCAUCGCCGACCUGAUCGAGCGCUACCAGCGUGAGCGGCCGGAGCACCCGUACCGAGAUGUUCCCACAGAGAUACCGUACAAGCUGGUCUGUUGCGCCCGAGAAAUCGUGCGCGCCAUCACUCAUGACCCGCCACUGCCCUUUCCUUCCGCAAUGGUAGCAGAGGUGAGCUCGCAGCACACGAUGCGGUGCGAGGUCAUGAAGCGUGUAAUCGACGCCGAAAACAGGACCUGCGCAAUCGGCGUCUUCAAGGAGGAGGGCCGGCACCCGGAUAGCAGUAUGUCCUUUACGGUACGGAUGAACGGCAACCGGCGCGGCUCCGUCGUCGUUGGCUGGAACUCGGCGACGCCGCGGCAGCAGCAGGAUGAAUCCCUGCCGUGCUUUGGCUACUUCGUAGAUGGGCGCACUGGGGCGGUGUUUCUGUGCUAUAACCACACCAAGUCCAUGAAAGGCUUAGCCCUCCGCGUCAACGCUGGCGACGAUUUGAUAACGACCGCCAACUACAGGGACCACAAGAUCACCUUUGAGCUCAAGCGUGCCGGCAUUACAGUAGGGGAGACCAAGUUUGACACAGAGAGGGAGGUCAUUGGGUUACCUUUCUUCUCCGCCGAGUACUCUGAUGACGCCACAGUCGACCUCAAGUCAUUUCAUCCAGGGCCGCAGACGCUCUCUGUAUCCCGUCUCUACGAGCAGAUUCUCCGGGCCCCGUACGAGCAAGACCAGACGCCGGCGCAGUCGUUUGAGUUUUACGCGGAGCUGAACCUGUUUGCGCAGACCGUCCUGAACGUGCACAGCAGCGCCGAUAUCGUCUCGCGGGUCGUGAACGAGACCACUGUGGCGAGUCACGAGCUGGCCAGCUUCACGCAGGUGUCAUCAGCGCUGAAUGCCGGCGCCUUUGCCGAGAGGGUGUCGCUUGCCCCACUGACGCCAUACCUCGUGCGCCUAAAGAAGCUAGACGAGCUGACGGCUGAGUUUGCUCCGCUCAUCAACCUGCGCCGACGCACGGAGCUGUUCGACAUUUUCGGCGUCCUCAAGAACCUCUGCUCCCGGGAGACGGAGGAGCAGAUUCAGACGCGCAUCAUGGCACCCUUCCAGAACAUGCAGGGCAAGAAGGUCUCAGUCACGAUCCACACGAUGCAGGCACAGCCCACGACCUCCACCGGCCCAUUCCAGACACUGAUGCGCUCGGUGUUUGGGCAGCUCUAUCUGCAGCUUCAGCAGGCAACAAUCGACAUCUUUUAUGUAUCGCCCAUCUUCACUGUGAAGCUCGCCGGUUUCGGCUCCACCGACGCCGGUGGCCCUUACCGUGACGUCCUAUCUCAGCUCGCCACGGAGAUCAUGACGACGCACCCCAGCAAGCAGUGCCAGCUGAACCCGCUCUUCGUGAACUGCGGGCGCGGUGACGUGACGGCGAUUAUGCCGAAUGUUGCCCUGAUAAAGAGCGCGCAGAUACCCCUCAUGUUGGAGUUCUUCGGGAAGCUGCUCGCGUCGCUUUUCCUCACACAAGAUGUGCUGGCGGUGGAGCUGCCUCCUCUCUUCUGGAAGCUGUUGCUCGGCGAGGAGGCCACCAUCAAAGACCUGUCCGCGUUCGACGCGGACAUCGCGAAGCUUCUCCAGCCGGAGGAGCUGAUGAUGCGCACCCACGAGGAAUUGGAGGAGCGCUUCCCUGGUAUCACAGCAGUGUGGAAGGCCAUCGUGGAUGACAACCAGCAGUUCCUCCUCGACGAGAAUCUUCCACCGGAGACUCUGGAUGGUGCUCGCCUGCUUUCUCGCCGCAUCAUGGUGAGCGAGAUCCACCGCUUUGAGGAGGCGAUCGGCUACAUCCAGCAAGGCUUUGACCAAGUCCUCCCACUGUACACCCUGCACGCUUAUCGGUGGCAGAAGGUGGAGCUGCUCAUCUGCGGCACUCCAAAGCUCACCUUUGCGGAUUUCUACAACAAGUGCGAUAUCCAGCUCUCUACCGCCGAUGCGAGCAUGUUUUUAUCGGUUCUCGAAAGCAUGACGGACGAGGAUCGCACCUUGCUCCUUCGCUUUACCACCGGCCAGUCGCGACUUCCACUCAAAACGAAGAUCAAGGUGACCCACAACGGAAGCAAGGACACACUUCCAACGAGCAGCACCUGCUUUUUCGCUCUUCGCCUCCCCUCCUACUCAUCUGCAGAAAAGAUGAAGGAGCGUCUCUUGUACGCCGUACGACAGUGCAAGGCGAUCGACGCGGACGGUCAGGCACGCGAACAUCUUAUCAUCGAUUGAAAUGCUGCGGCUAUUUUUUGACCCCUGCCAUUGCUUUCGUUGUCGUCUUUUCUUUUGGUGCUGUUGCUCAUGUGGACAACCGCAUAUUUCCUUCAAUGCGCACUGCUGCGACUUUACGUUAUCGUCAUUGUGCGUGUAGCACAUCAGAACUCCUUUCGAAAUCCAUGUUGAUUGUCUCACGGUGAGCAUUUUUCCAUCUUUUUUUUUAUCGUUGCAAUUGACGUGUGAGUACGAUCCUUCGUGACGUUUCAUAUUUUCACUGUCGUUUUUUCUUCUAUUAUCCACGCCUGUGCUUGUGCAACAUUCUUUAUUUUCUGUUUGUUGGAAGCUGCCUUGCUCGCGUCGGCUUCCCUGUUUCUUCUUUUUGUGUGAGCGUGUCUCUUGCUUGGACUCUUUGCUGUACUGUGGUGACCUUGACAAGUGCCUCCACUGCUGGGCACUGCCGACAACGGGCUCUGCGUCUUUUGUUGGUGUGCGUGAAUCACCACAAGGAAAUGAAGCAAAGCGCAUACAAGAGUAGCGUAUUCGUCCCCAUCGACGAAACUUGGUAGAAGUGUGACGACUGUAACACGCCGUGCCUGCAAGCUGCAUCCCCGCUUCAUUCAGAGAUGGGAGCUUACCCUCGCAGAGAUUCAGCGGUCCAUCCGACAGCGGGGAAGCGACUCUUUUGGCGCUGGUGGCUAACCCACUCUGCGCUUCGGCCGACACCUUUGUAUGCGGGCAGCACAUAGGGAGAGGAGGAGGCCGUGUGGUUGUCUGCAAUGACAUGCUGUUGCUCCUGAUGCGCUCCCUCUCACUUUCCUCUGGUAUGCUAUAUCGGUUCUUACUUCCACCUUGGUUUCCUGACACCGAGAAUGCGUUGUCUCUCUGCGCCUCGUACCGUAUUCUCUCUCCCUGUACUUUUAUCCGACACUUUUAGUCUACGCUUC